This 774-nucleotide ribosomal RNA is filed under the name uncultured Neocallimastigales. RNAcentral describes it as "partial large subunit ribosomal RNA". It matches the Rfam family "Eukaryotic large subunit ribosomal RNA", at positions 24 to 634 of the family's 3401-position model. The record is from RNAcentral. Lineage: Eukaryota; Fungi; Neocallimastigomycota; Neocallimastigomycetes; Neocallimastigales.
UAUCUCUGUAGAGUCUGCAUAUCAAUAAGCGGAGGAAAAGAAACUAACUAGGAUUCCCUUAGUAACGGCGAGUGAAGCGGGAAGAGCUCAAAUUUGAAAUCUUCAAGGUUUUACCUUGACGAAUUGUAGUUUAAAGAAGUGUUUUCUGUUGGUGUUUUGGUAAAAGUUCUUUGGAAUAGGACAUCAUAGAGGGUGAGAAUCCCGUAUUUGACCAUUACUUCCAGCGUUGUGAUACACUUUCAAAGAGUCGGAUUGUUUGGGAAUGCAGUCCAAAAUGGGAGGUAAAUUUCAUCUAAAGCUAAAUAUUGGCGAGAGACCGAUAGCGAACAAGUACCGUGAGGGAAAGAUGAAAAGAACUUUGAAAAGAGAGUUUAACAGUACGUGAAAUUGUCAAAAGGGAAGCGUUUGACACCAGUGUUGUUUUCUCGAAAAUCAAUUAAAAAAAGUUGGAUUUUGUAUUGUUAAGACCUUAUCAGCUUACUGUACUCUUUUCUUGCUUUUUUUAAUGCACUUUUCGUUUAACAAGUCAACAUCAAUUUCUUUUGUUGUAAAAGAGUCAUUGGAAGGUGGCUUUCACUUCGGUGAAAGUGUUUAUAGCCUUUGGCUUCUGCAAUCGGAGAGAUUGAGGUCUGCAGCGUAGAUCCUUCGGGGCUAGAUACGUAGAUGCUAAGUUAUAGUUUUUUAUAGACAACUUGUUGACUAUAAUUAAUCAUGUAGCUUACUCGUUUGCGCUAUUUUACCUACGCUUAGGAUGUUGAUAGUCACAGCGUGUAC